GACGAACGCUGGCGGCGUGCUUAACACAUGCAAGUCGAACGUGAUUUUUGUGGCAAUUCUUUCGGGACUGGAGAUGAACUGCAAGUGGCGAACGGGUGAGUAACACGUGAGCAACCUACCUUACACAGGGGGAUAGCCGUUGGAAACGACGAUUAAUACCGCAUGAGACCACAGAAUCGCAUGAUAUAGCGGUCAAGGAUGUAUCGGUGUAAGACGGGCUUGCGUCUGAUUAGCUAGCUGGAAGGGUAUAGGACGACCAAGGCGACGAUCAGUAGCCGGUCGGUGACGGGGAACGUUGGCAUUGGGAUAGGGACCAGGUUCCAACUCGUGGCAGCGGUAGCAGUGGGGAAUAAUGCACAGUGGGGGGAACCCUGUAGCGGCGAGGGCGCGAGAGCGAAGAAGGGGUUCGAAUCGUAAAGCGCUGGCGAAGGAGAAGAUAUGGACGGUAUCAGAGGAGGAAGCCCCGGUAAAAUACGU
This 477-nucleotide ribosomal RNA is filed under the name uncultured bacterium. RNAcentral describes it as "partial 16S ribosomal RNA". It matches the Rfam family "Bacterial small subunit ribosomal RNA", at positions 28 to 506 of the family's 1533-position model. The record is from RNAcentral.